Molecule: long non-coding RNA, 3138 nt
Filed under: Calidris pugnax (ruff)
Lineage: Eukaryota; Metazoa; Chordata; Aves; Charadriiformes; Scolopacidae
Description: lncRNA (ENSCPUG00000019576.1)
Source: RNAcentral
AAAUGGCGUUGCCUGUGUCUCGUGGUGUCCUGAGCCACCAAAGGUCCCACCCUCUCUGCAGAACUCCAGCCAAAAAAAGUUUGCUUCCCUUUCGGCACCGCAGUGCUUUUGGAUGUCAGAACCAGCGUCAGCCCUCUUCAGAGACUUGAGCAACUGCUGUGAAUUUAAAACAAAUAUUUUUCAUCUUAAAUGCCACGGCAGGUGGUGUGGGUAGCGCUAUGGCUGAGAAAAAUGGGAAAAGAAAGAUGUCUCUGGAAGAUGCUUCGUUUGAACUUCCAAUGUCUCAGAGAUGCAAACAGAGAGUUUUUCCAGGAAAGCUUCUUUUUCAUCAAUUUAAAUUUUGGGAAUUUUUCCAGGACAGUUUCUGUUCAGCGCGGCCAUUAUUUUUGAGGGACUUUUGCUCACAGCAUCUCUCUGUAGGUUCCUAUGGCACUCCACACAGAGCGGCCCCAGCUAACAAUACGAGAUAUCUGAAGAGGCUUAAAAGAGUUUCUGGAUCAGAACGCGCAGUUUGCAGGUUGCCAGCCUUCCCAGAACACCAUCUAUUACUCUUUAGGGACUGGAAAAAGCUGCUUGGCUUCAUCACAUUUGUUUGUCUUUCCCUCUCCAACUGAGCAGGGGGAUCUGAUUUUCCUGAAUUUGGCUGAAGAGACAAAUUAAAGUUUUCUUUGUUUAUAAUCAAAGCAGGAGUGAUUAUUUGAACAUUUUGAUGGAAUCACAUAGUAUUUUAAGAGUCUGUAAAAAGACAAGAAAGGUGGUGGGAAGUCAUCGGACUCUAUUUUCUUUAAAACUGUGUGGAUGGUUUCAACAAAGUGAACCCACGAUGUCUGUAGAGUUUCACCAAAUGGCCUGGGAACUGAUGGCAAAUUUGUGAAAACAUGCUGGAAAUGUUUUGUUGAUAUUCCUGCUGACAUUAGGGGCAGAUCCUGCAUGUCACCACAAAUAUUUGGCAGUGGAGAAAACCAGAGAUUUUGUUCAGCUCUGUUUGGAAUCAGAUAGCAAAUUGAUCUUGGAGGCUCUCCCUGGAACUCUUCAUAUUUUUGGAAAACAAAAGAUUUUCAGAGGAAGCCCUGUUUUUAUUAUGCAUGAGAUUGUUAUGGGAGGAGAAAAGGGAGUCUGUGACUUACACAAAAGAAGAGGGGAAUCGGAGCUUUUGCUGGAAUUGAACAGAUUAUUCCUGGCCUUAGCUUUGUGUACUUUUCCCCAGGAACAUGGAUUUUUAUGUGAGAAAAGAUUAUUUCUGAAUUAUUUAUUAUUUAUUUAUUUAUUAUUCUGUCUUCAGCGCCUCAUACAAUGGGAGAUCAGUUACCUGUGGGGUCAGUAAAUGGUCCUGGUGGGAGCUGAGGGAAGGGAGUAUGCCCAGAGAACAUCACAACACUGGGAAACACUGCUGCGGUGGGAUGGGACUCACCAUCAGCUAAGACAGGACACAUGGUCCUUCCUGGCAGUGCUCAGCCACCCUUGUCUCCCUUGCUCUGCUCUUGCUCCAAGUGGCUGAUUAGGCACAGAGAGUCCUGACUGCUCCUUUUGAUCCACCAUCUACAUGACCUGGAUGAAAUCCCAGACCCAAAGAUUUUUUCCCUUAACUCCGGCCAAUAUUUCACCUCGUCUUCCAGUAAGUGAUGGUGUGUCCUCUGCGGCAGCGAGGGUAUUGCCCUUGCUCACCACGGUGGUAUCAUCUCCCCACCUUCUAGGCUUCCUGCCUUGUUUGUUGGGAAGAGACCAGGAGAACACUGGGAGGAAACAUCUCAGCACUAUUUUUCCUCUCUGGCUUAAAAAGAAGCCCAGAAAAGCUGGGAGCCUGAGGCUCAAAAACGGGACCUGACCUCCCCCCCAGACAACACACGUUUCUGUGUGAAAGAGCUCAUCUAUGAAGUAGCAAAAUUUCCCAGAGGUGACAAGGAAGGACCUUUUGAGGGACUAUGCUCUGUACACUUGUAUGGGUUGGUGGAUUCUAGAUGAAGCAAAGAAAAACUCUCCAUGGGAAGCUUUUGACUUCAUAGAUUGCUCAAACACUACCCAUGUUCAGCACAGGGCUGGAUGUGAUAAACUCGACUCAUACAGCAACCCAAGGAAAAAACAACAGGAGAAUGUGGCAAGCAGUCAGUUUUGUGGUCUGAACCUCACAGGAAGGACAUGCUUUCAGAUCAGACCUUGGCUGUAACAGCUAGCCUGAAGUAGAAGGAAAAGCAGAAGAGGCUGCUUCUUGCAUUUCCUUUGAGUUAUUUCAAGACUGCCACUUUUGCUCUCCAGCCACAAGGAAAGGCUGAUCUGUUGGUCCCACUGCUACUCAAACCAGCUCCAUGUCCUCAGACGUGGUCCCACCAUGCAUCCAGCCACUAAUCCUGCCUGGAGCAGGGCUGUGUCAUCCUGAAACCUUGUAUUCUGUUGUCUUACUCUGACUUACCCUGCUUUAUCUGGAGGGAGUCAUGAGGUGGAUGUGAGGCAAGACACCCUGCCAUGAAAAAGGAGCAGUCAUGCUCAGAGGGGAGCUCAGCUUGAACGUCAUCAUCUGGUCUUCAGCUUGGGGCCCAAGUGAUUGAGGACUAAUUGGAAAGAAUCCAGUAGAGACCAGCACUGGGGGUGAAAGACCAGGGGAGGAGAGAGAGAGAGAACUGGGGCUGGCCAGGGUAGAAACAGGAGAUGUCAAAUAUGUAAGAGGUUGUUGCAGAGGGGCAGGGGAUAAACUAUUCUCCCCAUCCAUGGGGGAUACGAGAAGAAGCUGCAGGCUUAUAUUUCACUAAGAAAGCCUAAGUAAAAACUUUCUAAUUAUAAAAAUAGCUCAUAGUAGAAAAGGCAACAGAUCCUUUACGGGCACUGGAAUAAUCUAUUAGGAUAACUAAACUUGUUGUUUACUUCCAGAAAAAUGUUGGAAAGUAUUCUUUUUAAAAGUCUUUUUCAUAACUCACAGCAAAUCUCCCUCAAGUAAACAUCCUUUCCAAUCUUCAUAUAUCUUCUACCUCUCCUCCCAGGCAGUGAUGAAUGUAACAAAGUAGUGGGUGGGAGGAAACAGAUAAAUAUUUUGUAAGUAAUGUACUAUAUAUACUGGGCACAGAUAGAAAUAGCAUUGUGCUCCUUCUAUUUUCCUUCUUACCAGCACAAAUCAGGAAUAAAUCCAGGCACCAAACUCUUUUUACA